Molecule: ribosomal RNA, 865 nt
Filed under: uncultured archaeon
Lineage: Archaea
Description: bacterial SSU rRNA
Rfam family: Archaeal small subunit ribosomal RNA
Source: RNAcentral
UUCCGGUUGAUCCUGCCGGCGGCCACCGCUAUAGGAAUUCGAUUAAGACAUGCGAGUCGAGAGUCUUCGGGACUCGGCGGACUGCUCAGUAACACGUGGAGAACGUGCCCUUAAGUGGAGGAUAAUCUCGGGAAAUUGAGGAUAAUACUCCAUAGAUCAUGGGAUCUGGAAUGACCCAUGGUUGAAAGUUCCGGCGCUUAAGGAUCGCUCUGCGGCUUAUCAGGUUGUAGUGGGUGUAACGUACCCCCUAGCCAGUGACGAGUAUGGGCCUUGAGAGAGGGAGCCCAGAGUUGGAUUCUGAGACACGAAUCCAGGCCCUACGGGGCGCAGCAGUCGCGAAAACUUCACACUGGGGGCAACCCCGAUGAGGGAAUUCCUAGUGCUAGGACAUUUGUUCUAGCUUUUCUCUAGCGUAGAUAACUAGAGGAAUAAGGGCUGGGUAAGACGGGUGCCAGCCGCCGCGGUAAUACCCGCAGCCCAAGUGGUGGUCGAUUUUAUUGAGUCUAAAACGUUCGUAGCCGGUUCAUUAAAUCCUUGGGUAAAUCGGGAAGCUUAACUUUCCGACUUCCGAGGAGACUGGUGAACUUGGGACCGGGAGAGGCAAGAGGUACUUCUGGGGUAGGGGUAAAAUCCUGUAAUCCUAGAAGGACCACCGGUGGCGAAGGCGUCUUGCUAGAACGGAUCCGACGGUGAGGGACGAAGCCCUGGGUCGCAAACGGGAUUAGAUACCCCGGUAGUCCAGGGUGUAAACGCUGCAGACUUGGUGUUGGGGACCCUUCGGGGGUGUUCAGUGCCGGAGAGAAGUUGUUAAGUCUGCUACUUGGGGAGUACGUCCGCAAGACUGAAACUUAAAGGAAUUGGCGGG